Molecule: long non-coding RNA, 465 nt
Filed under: Helianthus annuus (common sunflower)
Lineage: Eukaryota; Viridiplantae; Streptophyta; Magnoliopsida; Asterales; Asteraceae
Source: RNAcentral
UUGACAUCACAGGCUAAUUUUUUUUAUCAUACAACACUUUCAAAAUCACAAAAUGCUAAUCACGUAAAUCGGAUUCUCUUCGAUUAAACGAUAAGUCGGACUCUCUUCGAUUAAAUGAUAUCUCUCUAAUCGUGGCCAAAAGCGGCUUCCAUGACAUCCCUGAUCUAGUCGAUCUUCUCAUAUUUUUCUUCUCGGGAUUAGAGCCAUCCUCUGAACCCUCACUCGACUCUUUGUCUUGUGGGCUAGCCGGUUCAGGGGCUGGCUUGGCCUUCUUAACCCGAGGGGGCUUGGCUAUGUUACUAAGACUCUUUUUAAGAGAUUUUCGGCUUGACUUGUUGACUUGUGUGCUACCAAAGUGGUUUGCCUAGGCUUGAGUUGGCUGGUCUUGGCUAUGUUGUUGAGCUUCUUUGUAAGACAAGUCAAGUCACUUGAUGACUCGUUUAACCGGAUAAAGGAGCAUGGUAG